Molecule: ribosomal RNA, 676 nt
Filed under: Serratia sp. 34ANGIII
Lineage: Bacteria; Pseudomonadati; Pseudomonadota; Gammaproteobacteria; Enterobacterales; Yersiniaceae
Description: bacterial SSU rRNA
Rfam family: Bacterial small subunit ribosomal RNA
Source: RNAcentral
CUUGCUCUCCGGGUGACGAGCGGCGGACGGGUGAGUAAUGUCUGGGAAACUGCCCGAUGGAGGGGGAUAACUACUGGAAACGGUAGCUAAUACCGCAUAACGUCUUCGGACCAAAGUGGGGGACCUUCGGGCCUCACACCAUCGGAUGUGCCCAGAUGGGAUUAGCUAGUAGGUGAGGUAAUGGCUCACCUAGGCGACGAUCCCUAGCUGGUCUGAGAGGAUGACCAGCCACACUGGAACUGAGACACGGUCCAGACUCCUACGGGAGGCAGCAGUGGGGAAUAUUGCACAAUGGGCGCAAGCCUGAUGCAGCCAUGCCGCGUGUGUGAAGAAGGCCUUCGGGUUGUAAAGCACUUUCAGCGAGGAGGAAGGGUUCGGUGUUAAUAGCACCGUGCAUUGACGUUACUCGCAGAAGAAGCACCGGCUAACUCCGUGCCAGCAGCCGCGGUAAUACGGAGGGUGCAAGCGUUAAUCGGAAUUACUGGGCGUAAAGCGCACGCAGGCGGUUUGUUAAGUCAGAUGUGAAAUCCCCGAGCUUAACUUGGGAACUGCAUUUGAAACUGGCAAGCUAGAGUCUUGUAGAGGGGGGUAGAAUUCCAGGUGUAGCGGUGAAAUGCGUAGAGAUCUGGAGGAAUACCGGUGGCGAAGGCGGCCCCCUGGACAAAGACUGACGCUC